GAUGAACGCUAGCGGCAGGCCUAAUACAUGCAAGUCGGACGGGAUUCAGGAGCUUGCUUCUGAUGAGAGUGGCGCACGGGUGCGUAACACGUAUGUAACCUACCUUUAUCAGGGGGAUAUCCUCUCGAAAGAGAGAUUAAGCCCGCAUAAAAUCACAGCACAUCAUUGUGUAAUGAUCAAAUAUUUAUAGGAUAAAGAUGGGCAUGCGGAACAUUAGCUAGAUGGCGGGGUAACUGCCCACCAUGGCGACGAUGUUUAGGGGAUCUGAGAGGAUUGCCCCCCAGACUGGUACUGAGACACGGAGCAGACACCUACGGGAGGCAGCAGUAAGGAAUAUUGGUCAAUGGGAGGAAGCCUGAACCAGCCAUGCCGGGUGCAGGAAGACGGCCCUACGGGUUGUAACCUGCUUUUAUACGGGAAUAAACCCAGAUACGUGUAUCUGGCUGAAUGUACUGUAAGAAUAAGGAUCGGCUAACUACGUG
Molecule: ribosomal RNA, 482 nt
Filed under: uncultured bacterium
Lineage: Bacteria
Description: partial 16S ribosomal RNA
Rfam family: Bacterial small subunit ribosomal RNA
Source: RNAcentral